This 450-nucleotide ribosomal RNA is filed under the name uncultured bacterium. RNAcentral's name for it is "partial 16S ribosomal RNA". It matches the Rfam family "Bacterial small subunit ribosomal RNA", at positions 354 to 796 of the family's 1533-position model. The record is from RNAcentral.
GUGGGGAAUCUUCCGCAAUGGACGAAAGUCUGACGGAGCAACGCCGCGUGAGUGAUGAAGGUCUUCGGAUUGUAAAGCUCUGUUAAUCGGGACGAAAGAGCCUAGUGUGAAUAAUGCUAGGAAGUGACGGUACCGGAAUAGAAAGCCACGGCUAACUACGUGCCAGCAGCCGCGGUAAUACGUAGGUGGCAAGCGUUGUCCGGAAUUAUUGGGCGUAAAGCGCGCGCAGGUGGGAUCUUAAGUCCAUUUUUAAAGUUCGGGGCUUAACCCCGUGAUGGGAUGGAAACUACAGAUCUAGAGUAUCGGAGAGGAAAGUGGAAUUCCUAGUGUAGCGGUGAAAUGCGUAGAUAUUAGGAAGAACACCAGUGGCGAAGGCGACUUUCUGGACGAAAACUGACGCUGAGGCGCGAAAGCCAGGGGAGCGAACGGGAUUAGAAACCCUAGUAGUCC